CCGCGCUGCCGGGGCUGUCGGGACAGAGAGGAGCUGCUGGCACCGACCCGGAGCUGCUGGCACCGAUCCGGAGCUGCUGGCACCGAUCCGGAGCUGCUGGCACCGAUCCGCAGCAGGCUGCCCCACAGGCCAGCACAGCCGAAACGCAGCUCUCGGUUCUGAGGGAGGGCUGGCCGCGGGUGUCCCGGCAAAGGCCGGGCCUGUGCCCCUCCUUUGAGCGCGGUCUCCCUCUGCUGUCCUGCCGCAGCUCUGCGCUGGGGACAAGCAAGGUGACCUCUGAGGGGCAGCCCAACUACAGGACUUGCACAAACACCUUGAAAAAAAAUUUUUGCUUGAUGCUGUUUAGUUUCACAAGGAAGACUUUAAUGUCUGGAAAUAUCAGUCCCGAGCGCUGGAGGCUUCACGGUGGAAAAUAAAUAAAUAAAGAACAGCUGGGAAAUGCAUUUUCUCCUUACGGAGCUGCCCAAUCGGGUUUCCAUUACCAGUAAAAAGUAAUAACCAGUAACAGCUUCUUCUCUGAGAGAAGUAACAUGAAUUUCUAAGCAGCAGCAAUGAUUCUCUGAAGAAAGUGGAAUAUGAAAAAUGUUCACAUCUUUUACCUUUAGAUGGGAGGAAAACAUGGAGCUAACAUCUCACUGAGGCUGGGGAAGUCCUUGCACAUCCCUGUAUCCACAUGCAAGGUAUCAGGAUUCUGAAGAUAGCCCAUGAGACAGCAUAUGAUCAGCCUCUCCAACAGCCUCUUGUUUGCAGACCAGCAGAACUUCUCAGCCAGUCUCAGUUCUGAAAGGACUGCCAAGUUCACAGAAGAAUCAAUAGCCAAGGAUAUUCACAUAGGAUAAGAUUUACAAAGCAUGUUUCACAGACAGUAACAACUGGGACCUCGGAGCACUUACUGGAACCAACAAAAUGACAACUGAUAUGUCCUCCAGUGAAUCUAUGUUAAGACGUUCUGUCUGCAGUAAUUAAAAACUAGGUAAUGUCACCUGUGUGAAAAGCCCACCAUAAAAUCAGCUCCACUUAGGAGUGUAACUUGACAUGUUGACUUUUUCCAUCAGCAGCUCUGUCCUCUAAGCCAGCCUCUGGCCCUGCUAUGCUGAGUAGCACCUUCCUUAACUCAUAUCAACUCUUAUGAUCCCUCUUAUUUUUCCUAUCAUCUCCUUCCUUCAGUAUUAUGUGUGGGAUGGUCUGGUAAUUCACUCAUUACACCUGAGCAAAUUACCCCUCAAUGAACACACAAAAUAUUUUUUCACUGUUAUUUUUUUCAUAUAUAGAUUUAGGAGUAAUUACAUCUCCCUUUCAGUUCUUUGAGCUUAUUUAAGGAAAGUGAUCUCGUGCCAGUAACACACCCAAGUUUUCUGUUAUGUACUUUUAGCUGUGCUAGAUAUCACUAAGCACAAGGAUUCCCUGGGUAUUCAUAGUGUACAGUAUAAAUUAAAUUGAUUCUACUUCUUCUUAUACUCCAGGAACACCUAAACUUCUAACAAAAUCAGAACACACAUUCACAUACAGCCUGAAACAAGUCUUUUUCAUGCUUUUUCAUACACAUAUGUGUACUGACUUCAUGCAGCAACUUUUAUGCAGAGAAAUAAUGAAGGGAAAAAAAGGAACUAACCUUAUCAUAGGUUAUUGCAUGGAAGUAUUAUAAAUAUUUUUAAUUGCUUGGCUCUCUUCCUUCUCUAUCAUAUUUCCCUCAGGUCUCUGUUCCAUGCUCAAGGCCAUUAUUUGAUGGGGGAGGUAUAAAGUCAUAACAGGCUGAUGUAAAUUUCCUUUGAGGUGCCUUAUAUAUCACAGAUUCCACGAGGGAGAUGAAACAGCAUUUUGUUCCUGCUCAUAAGUAAGGGGUGGAAGAAAUGCUUCUUGUGAAGAGAACUAAACUCAUGCCUAUUUUCUAAUUGAGGCUGGUAUAGUAUAUUAGUCUUCAGGUAAAUCUCUGAUAACACUUAUUGCCUUUUGCAGGUAGAUCUUUGAUAACACUUAUUGCCUUUUCCAAGACCCCUUCUGUAAGGAUGGCUUGUAAUUCUGAGGAGGAAAUGAACAACUCCAAAACUGAGGGAGAUAAAGAAGAUGUCAGUGUCAAGAGUCUUAGACAUGGCCUGUCAGCUGAAUUUUAUGUUUCUGCUAAAUUAAAAUCAGAAACUCAUUACAGAAAAUGAAACAAGAAGGUAGUUCAGGCAGUCACUUUUUAAGAUCACCAUCAGCCUCUGGACAGUUGAGAAGCCUUUUGUCUAUCUACUGUAGACACCUGGGUUGCUGGCUUGUAAAGAUGCAGAUCUACUACUCUUGACAGGGUUGGUGUCAGGACUUUCCUGAGCAUGCCAACAAAGCCACUUAUUUACCUUUAAAGCUUAAUUAAGCUAGGCAAAUGAUGAUAAAAAUCUAGGGAGAAUACUCACUCCACAAAUAUUUUAAUGGCUUCACCCAGGGAAACAAGAUAACACUUAGGUGUGCACAUUCCAUGUCCAGUAUCCAUGUCAUUUUCACAUGCUGCCUUUAGAAAUCACCUAUUAUUUAAGAUGCCAGAUGACCUUUUAAUAAAACACCACUGAAGUGACAUUUUAAAAUAUUUUCAGUUUAACCACUGUCCCUCGCUCUUGCCCAGAAACACAUUUUUGCAAUUCAACUGGCAACCUGAUUUUUUCCUUGCAAGGAAUUUCACCAUUCACAUGAGCAACAAAACAGAACCUGUGCAGAUGCCAGUUUUUACAAGUCUAUUGUAGACAAGGGAGGCACAGCAGUUCUUUACAUCACUUGAAGUUCUAUUCCAGAAAGUAUUCAGGCUUUGAUUCCCUUGCAAUUGUCACAAUUAUGUUCUCAGAUGAGCCAGUUCAAUUAAAUAAACUGGAAGGUGUAAAUGGCACUGGUUUUCCUUUAAAACUGGGUGAUGAAUGGCACUUUUGCUACAUCAAUAAAUGACAUUAAAAUCAUAAAGCAGAGCUUAAAAGGAAGAGAAUUUGCUGAAAUCCAGCUCUUGUUCACAUGUGGACAAGAAGCUGCUUUUACACACAGGUUUUGGUCGCAGCAGUUUAAUCAGUAAGGCAACAAUAUCUUUGCUCAACUAAAGCUAUCUUACUUCUGAUGGGAAGGAUUGUUACCUAUUCAACACACAUAGAAAUAAUCACAGUAUUUUGCCAUCAAAAUCAGUGGCAACACUUUAUAAGCAGAAUAAAACUAAGGAUGAGAAUGGAUUUCAAAAUCUAAGUGGGUAGUAUCAGCUGAAAAGUAAGAGGGAUAGGAACUAAGUCACUUAAAAUAGAGAGAACAUCAGGGAUUGAUGAGGAAUGAGUUGAAGAGCCAGGAAAGUGUCUCUAGCAGAAGUUGGCAAAAGUGAUAAUUGAAGUCAAGAAGAUAAAAUAUAGAUGUAUGUUUCCUGGAGAUUGGGUUUCCCAGAAUUUUGUGUGCUAUUGAUUUUUUGUUCACUUAAGUGACAUAUUUGGUUUUCAAAACUGCU
This is a long non-coding RNA of Parus major (Great Tit), 3448 nucleotides long. RefSeq lists it as uncharacterized. NCBI's taxonomy places the organism in Eukaryota, Metazoa, Chordata, Aves, Passeriformes, Paridae. The record is from RefSeq and is a predicted model, not a curated record. The transcript is spliced from 3 exons.